GGUGGGUUGCAUCAACAUCCCGGUUAUCGUAAUAGUUAAGGUUAAACUUAGCAAUGACAGAGUCGUUACAGUUAACAUUUUACUGCAACGUGUUGCACCAUCACUUCGUUCGUCAUUGUUAAUGUUAUUAGGGUUGCUAAUCGUUUGAGACAUAAUUAUCCCCAAAGUUAUUGUGGGAAACGUUUUUAUGUAGGGCAAUACCAAAUCUAGCUGUCGGACUGAAGCCGUCACAGAGUACAUUGUAGCCGUCAUUCUCUGUCAAAGCACUCAAAGUCAACAUGUCAUAGGACCUAAGUCUGUUAUUCCUCCAAAUAUUGACCAAAAGAUUAU
Long non-coding RNA from Plutella xylostella (diamondback moth), 330 nucleotides. RefSeq lists it as uncharacterized. Lineage: Eukaryota; Metazoa; Arthropoda; Insecta; Lepidoptera; Plutellidae. The record is from RefSeq and is a predicted model, not a curated record.